GUGGGGAAUAUUGGACAAUGGGCGCAAGCCUGAUCCAGCAAUGCCGCGUGGGUGAAGAAGGUCUUCGGAUCGUAAAGCCCUUUCGACAGGGACGAUGAUGACGGUACCUGUAGAAGAAGCCCCGGCUAACUUCGUGCCAGCAGCCGCGGUAAUACGAAGGGGGCUAGCGUUACUCGGAAUUACUGGGCGUAAAGGGCGCGUAGGCGGCUCUGUUAGUCAGGCGUGAAAUUCCUGGGCUUAACCUGGGGACUGCGCUUGAUACUGCAGGGCUUGAGGCCGAGAGAGGGUGGUGGAAGUCCCAGUGUAGAGGUGAAAUUCGUAGAUAUUGGGAAGAACACCGGUGGCGAAGGCGACCACCUGGCUCGGUUCUGACGCUGAGGCGCGACAGCGUGGGGAGCAAACAGGAUUAGAAACCCUGGUAGUCC
RNAcentral lists this ribosomal RNA (425 nucleotides) under uncultured bacterium. RNAcentral describes it as "partial 16S ribosomal RNA". It matches the Rfam family "Bacterial small subunit ribosomal RNA", at positions 354 to 796 of the family's 1533-position model. The record is from RNAcentral.